Molecule: ribosomal RNA, 231 nt
Filed under: bacterium enrichment culture clone ALO1_GLFRUDD03GC631
Lineage: Bacteria
Description: partial 16S ribosomal RNA
Rfam family: Bacterial small subunit ribosomal RNA
Source: RNAcentral
GAGUUUGAUCUUGGCUCAGAUUGAACGCUGGCGGCAGGCCCUAACACAUGCCAAGUCGAGCGGAUGACGGGAGCUUGCUCCUUGAUUCAGCGGCGGACGGGUGAGUAAUGCCUAGGAAUCCUGCCUGGUAGUGGGGGACAACGUUUCGAAAGGAACGCUAAUACCGCAUACGUCCUACGGGAGAAAGCAGGGGACCUUCGGGCCUUGCGCUAUCCAGAAUGAGCCUAGGUC